AUCAACAAAGUGUCUAACAGCAACUCGAAUUCUUCUUAGGUUAAAGGAACUUGCUCAGUGGAGGUGGGAUUCAAACCAAAGCAGUCUGAUUCCAGAAUGAUUCCAGUUUGUUUUCUUAACAGAUUGAUGGAAGACAUUGAAGACUUCUUUACUUGAACUCCCUGCAGACUGAGAAGAAGACACUCAGUUGAUUUGAAGGAAUUCAAACUGUUUAAGCGAAGGAUUUUUGAAGACUGUGGAUCAUCUUGGAUUUU
Hyaena hyaena (striped hyena) is the source of this 254-nucleotide long non-coding RNA. RefSeq lists it as uncharacterized. The transcript is spliced from 4 exons. NCBI's taxonomy places the organism in Eukaryota, Metazoa, Chordata, Mammalia, Carnivora, Hyaenidae. The record is from RefSeq and is a predicted model, not a curated record.